RNAcentral lists this ribosomal RNA (253 nucleotides) under uncultured bacterium. Its description in RNAcentral is "partial 16S ribosomal RNA". It matches the Rfam family "Bacterial small subunit ribosomal RNA", at positions 524 to 776 of the family's 1533-position model. The record is from RNAcentral.
UACGAAGGGGGCUAGCGUUGUUCGGAAUCACUGGGCGUAAAGGGCGCGUAGGCGGCUUGAUAAGUCGGGGGUGAAAGCCUGUGGCUCAACCACAGAAUUGCCUUCGAUACUGUCGAGCUUGAAACCGGAAGAGGUAAGUGGAACUGCGAGUGUAGAGGUGAAAUUCGUAGAUAUUCGCAAGAACACCAGUGGCGAAAGCGGCUUCCUGGUCCAGCACCGACGUUCAGGCACGAAAGCGUGGGGAGCAAACAGG